AUUGAACGCUGGCGGCAGGCUUAACACAUGCAAGUCGAACGGUAGCAGGAGGAAGCUUGCUUUCUUGCUGACGAGUGGCGGACGGGUGAGUAAUGCUUGGGAAUCUGGCUUAUGGAGGGGGAUAACGACGGGAAACUGUCGCUAAUACCGCGUAGUGUCGAGAGACGAAAGGGUGGGACUUUUAGCCACCUGCCAUAGGAUGAGCCCAAGUGGGAUUAGGUAGUUGGUGGGGUAAUGGCUCACCAAGCCUGCGAUCUCUAGCUGGUCUGAGAGGAUGACCAGCCACACUGGAACUGAGACACGGUCCAGACUCCUACGGGAGGCAGCAGUGGGGAAUAUUGCGCAAUGGGGGGAACCCUGACGCAGCCAUGCCGCGUGAAUGAAGAAGGCCUUCGGGUUGUAAAGUUCUUUCGGUAUUGAGGAAGGUUGAUGUGAUAAUAGUACAUCAAAUUGACGUUAAAUACAGAAGAAGCACCGGCUAACUCCGUGCCAGCAGCCGCGGUAAUACGGAGGGUGCGAGCGUUAAUCGGAAUAACUGGGCGUAAAGGGCACGCAGGCGGUUAUUUAAGUGAGGUGUGAAAGCCCUGGGCUUAACCUAGGAAU
RNAcentral lists this ribosomal RNA (603 nucleotides) under uncultured bacterium. RNAcentral's name for it is "bacterial SSU rRNA". It matches the Rfam family "Bacterial small subunit ribosomal RNA", at positions 28 to 621 of the family's 1533-position model. The record is from RNAcentral.